UUCGAGUGGCGGACGGGUGAGUAACGCGUGGGUAACCUGCCUUACACAGGGGGAUAACACCUGGAAACAGGUGCUAAUACCGCAUAAGCGCACAGGGCCGCAUGGCCCGGUGUGAAAAACUCCGGUGGUGUAAGAUGGACCCGCGUCUGAUUAGCUUGUUGGCGGGGUAGGGGCCCACCAAGGCGACGAUCAGUAGCCGGCCUGAGAGGGUGGACGGCCANAUUGGGACUGAGACACGGCCCAAACUCCUACGGAAGGCAGCAG
RNAcentral lists this ribosomal RNA (264 nucleotides) under uncultured bacterium. Its description in RNAcentral is "partial 16S ribosomal RNA". It matches the Rfam family "Bacterial small subunit ribosomal RNA", at positions 90 to 354 of the family's 1533-position model. The record is from RNAcentral.